GUGGGCAUAGCUCAGUGGUAGAGCCCGUGCUUAGUAUGCAUGAGGUCCUAGGUUCGACCCCAGUACCUCCA
Molecule: transfer RNA, 71 nt
Filed under: Camelus bactrianus (Bactrian camel)
Lineage: Eukaryota; Metazoa; Chordata; Mammalia; Artiodactyla; Camelidae
Also listed under: 2 other names
Rfam family: tRNA
About the family: Transfer RNA (tRNA) molecules are approximately 80 nucleotides in length.
Source: Rfam by way of RNAcentral